AUGACUACAGGAUCAUCGGUCUACUCUACCUCAAUUCACCAUUUCGAACUUUAUACAGAAGGUUUUUCCGUACCAGCUCCUUCUACCUAUACCUCAGUUGAAGCACCUAAAGGAGAAUUUGGUGUCUUUCUGGUCAGUAAUGGAAGCAAUCGUCCCUACCGUCGUAAAAUAAGAGCACCUGGCUCUGCCUAUUCACAAGGACUCGGCAUUACCCCGGUAAAAUUCAUUUAA
This is a non-coding RNA of Vicia faba (fava bean), 231 nucleotides long. NCBI's taxonomy places the organism in Eukaryota, Viridiplantae, Streptophyta, Magnoliopsida, Fabales, Fabaceae. The record is from the annotation of a GenBank genome assembly.